RNAcentral lists this transfer RNA (76 nucleotides) under Sphingopyxis sp. RNAcentral describes it as "tRNA-Phe". It matches the Rfam family "tRNA". Rfam says of the family: Transfer RNA (tRNA) molecules are approximately 80 nucleotides in length. Their secondary structure includes four short double-helical elements and three loops (D, anti-codon, and T loops). The record is from RNAcentral. Lineage: Bacteria; Pseudomonadati; Pseudomonadota; Alphaproteobacteria; Sphingomonadales; Sphingopyxidaceae.
GCGUCUAUAGCUCAGUGGUCAGAGCGCCGGCCCGAAAAGCCGGAGGUCGCGGGUUCGAUUCCCGUUAGGUGCACCA